RNAcentral lists this ribosomal RNA (468 nucleotides) under uncultured bacterium. RNAcentral's name for it is "partial 16S ribosomal RNA". It matches the Rfam family "Bacterial small subunit ribosomal RNA", at positions 28 to 507 of the family's 1533-position model. The record is from RNAcentral.
GACGAACGCUGGCGGCGUGCUUAACACAUGCAAGUCGAACGGAAAGGCCCUGCUUUUGUGGGGUGCUCGAGUGGCGAACGGGUGAGUAACACGUGAGUAACCUGCCCUUGACUUUGGGAUAACUUCAGGAAACUGGGGCUAAUACCGGAUAGGAGCUCCUGCUGCAUGGUGGGGGUUGGAAAGUUUCGGCGGUUGGGGCUGGACUCGCGGCUUAUCAGCUUGUUGGUGUGGUAGUGGCUUACCAAGGGUUUGACGGGUAGCCGGCCUUGGAGGGUUGCCGGCCACAUUGGGACUGAGAGAGGGCCCAGUCUCCUACGGGAGGCAGCAGUGGGGAAUAUUGCACAAUGGGCCGAAGCCUGAUGCAGCAACGCCGCGUGCGGGAUGACGGCCUUCGGGUUGUAAACCGCUUUCGCCUGUGACGAAGCGUGAGUGACGGUAAUGGGUAAAGAAGCACCGGCUAACUACGUG